This 497-nucleotide ribosomal RNA is filed under the name uncultured bacterium. RNAcentral's name for it is "partial 16S ribosomal RNA". It matches the Rfam family "Bacterial small subunit ribosomal RNA", at positions 28 to 507 of the family's 1533-position model. The record is from RNAcentral.
GAUGAACGCUGGCGGCGUGCCUAAUACAUGCAAGUCGAGCGAACAGAUGAGGAGCUUGCUCCUUUGACGUUAGCGGCGGACGGGUGAGUAACACGUGGGUAACCUACCUAUAAGACUGGGAUAACUUCGGGAAACCGGAGCUAAUACCGGAUAACAUAUGGAACCGCAUGGUUCUAUAGUGAAAGAUGGUUUUGCUAUCACUUAUAGAUGGACCCGCGCCGUAUUAGCUAGUUGGUAAGGUAACGGCUUACCAAGGCGACGAUACGUAGCCGACCUGAGAGGGUGAUCGGCCACACUGGAACUGAGACACGGUCCAGACUCCUACGGGAGGCAGCAGUAGGGAAUCUUCCGCAAUGGGCGAAAGCCUGACGGAGCAACGCCGCGUGAGUGAUGAAGGGUUUCGGCUCGUAAAACUCUGUUAUUAGGGAAGAACAAACGUGUAAGUAACUGUGCACGUCUUGACGGUACCUAAUCAGAAAGCCACGGCUAACUACGUG